RNAcentral lists this long non-coding RNA (1532 nucleotides) under Prunus persica (peach). RNAcentral describes it as "long non-coding RNA (PPER_LNC006465)". Lineage: Eukaryota; Viridiplantae; Streptophyta; Magnoliopsida; Rosales; Rosaceae. The record is from RNAcentral.
UAAUAUUUAUGUAUACGUCACUAUUCAUAUAUCCGGUACUAUUCAUCAAGUCAUGAAUACGUAUCUAUUCAUGUGUACAAUACAUUUGCCAGUACAGUUAUCAUCCAUGUGUACGGCAUUAUGAACCAAUACGGUACUGUUACAUCAUUAAGGAACCCCAGGUCCUUAUUUACAUGUCAGGGAUCAAGGACCUUCAAGUCCAAUUACAUGUUUACAAAUAUAGUACCGGAGAGACUGCCAGCUCUCAUGUUAACAUCAUCAUCAAGGAUCUUCAAGUCCUGAUGUAAUUAUAUGAUGAGGAUCAAGGAACUUCUGGUCCUGAUCUGCAUACUGUAAAAAACUCAUCAUACAACACAUUUAAUCCAUAAAAUAAAUUGUUAGUAAAUAAAUUACUGGUAUGGACGAUAAACCCGCACCAUACUUUAAAUAAAUGUAAAUGUGCGGUAAAUUAAAUUCAUAAAGUUAAGGUGCUUGUAUGGGCAUUAAUUCUGCUCCAUACAUUUAAAUAAAAGUAAAGGCGUGGACGAUAAACCCGCACCACCCUUUUAAAUAAAUGUAAAUGUGCGGUAAAAUUAAAUUCAUAAAGUUAAGGUGCUUGUAUGGGCAUUAAUUCUGCUCCAUACAUUUAAAUAAAAGUAAAGGCGUGGACGAUAAACCCGCACCACCCUUUUAAAUAAAUGUAAAUGUGCGGUAAAUUAAAUUCAUAAAUUAAAUUGUUUGCUGUAUGGACGUUAAUCCCGCACCAUACUUUAAAUAAAAUUAAAUGUGCGGUAAAGUAAAUGGUGCUUGUAUGGGCACUAAUUCUGCUCCAUACAUUUAAAUAGAAGUAAAGGCGUGGACGAUAAACCCGCACCACCCUUUUAAAUAAAUACUGUUGUAUGGGUAAUAAGCCUACACCAUACAGUAAAUAUAAUAUAUUAUAUUACUUUAAGUAAAAGUAAAUUUGCGGUAAGGUAAAGGCAAUUAUUGGUGGGUUCUCAUCAACACCACGAUCAAAUAGUAUAGCAGAUAAUAUUAUUAUCGUUUGUGGAAGGCAUCAUGCUUGUCUCUUAAAUCAAAUGCUUUCCACCUGUAAUCUGCACACAGUUGGUUUGCUCGUAUAUCUCUCUUGCAGACCACAUCUCCUCCACUACUUUUCUUCCUUACAUCAACAUAAGGGUUAGUAGUAUAGAUAAUAGUGCAACACAAAAAUUAUACCUGAGAGCUUUUCGUGCUGAUAACGUGUUGUAAAAUGAACUGGUAUAUAUGCGAAUAUUGAGCUGCACGUAAAGUAGAUGAGACACAGUAUUUAACGAGGUUCGGCUAUGCCUACAUCCCCGGAGAGCAGCAGCAGUAACUUUUCCACUAUGUAAAAUAAUAGGGCUACAACUUUGUGUUUACAAUAUGUAUGGCUCACUCAAUUUUCUCUCUUGGAGAAUUUCUCUCUUGCUCUCUUUCUUCUCAACUCACUCACCCUCAUUCUUCCUUCUCUUCCUCUUCUCUAUGUGUGUUUACAAGCAAAUAUAAUGCCUAUUUAUAGGCAAAGCAAAUGG